UUGCUCGCUUUGGCAGCACAUAUACUAAAAUUGGAACAAUAUAGAGAAAAUUAACAUGGCCCCAGCACAAGAAUGAUAUGCAAAUUCGUGAAGUGUUCCAUAUUCUU
Molecule: small nuclear RNA, 107 nt
Organism: Nycticebus coucang (slow loris)
Lineage: Eukaryota; Metazoa; Chordata; Mammalia; Primates; Lorisidae
Source: RefSeq, a predicted model, not a curated record